UACAGAGGUGGCAAGCGUUGUUCGGAAUUACUGGGCGUAAAGGGCGCGUAGGCGGUUCGAUAAGUCCCGUGUGAAAUCCCUCGGCUCAACUGAGGAACUGCACGGGAAACUGACGGGCUUGAGUUCGGGAGAGGGAAGCGGAAUUCCGGGUGUAGCGGUGAAAUGCGUAGAUAUCCGGAGGAACACCGGUGGCGAAGGCGGCUUCCUGGACCGACAUUGACGCUGAGGCGCGAAAGCCAGGGGAGCAAACGGG
Molecule: ribosomal RNA, 253 nt
Filed under: uncultured bacterium
Lineage: Bacteria
Description: partial 16S ribosomal RNA
Rfam family: Bacterial small subunit ribosomal RNA
Source: RNAcentral